CAGGCCGUGGCGCAAGCCGGGCGCCAGCGCUUUGCCGCAGCGCUGAUGGAUUGCCGCCUGCCGAUCAUCGACGGUUACGAGGCCACCCGGCGUAU
Molecule: transfer RNA, 95 nt
Filed under: Pseudomonas fluorescens
Lineage: Bacteria; Pseudomonadati; Pseudomonadota; Gammaproteobacteria; Pseudomonadales; Pseudomonadaceae
Description: tRNA-Gly
Source: RNAcentral